UCCCAGCUGGCUCAGUGGUAAAGAAUCUGCCUGCCAUGCAGGGAACGCGGGUUCGAUCCCUGGGUUGGGAA
RNAcentral lists this transfer RNA (71 nucleotides) under Ovis aries (sheep). It matches the Rfam family "tRNA". From Rfam's summary of the family: Transfer RNA (tRNA) molecules are approximately 80 nucleotides in length. Their secondary structure includes four short double-helical elements and three loops (D, anti-codon, and T loops). Further hydrogen bonds mediate the characteristic L-shaped molecular structure. tRNAs have two regions of fundamental functional importance: the anti-codon, which is responsible for specific mRNA codon recognition, and the 3' end, to which the tRNAs corresponding amino acid is attached (by aminoacyl-tRNA synthetases). tRNAs cope with the degeneracy of the genetic code in two manners: having more than one tRNA (with a specific anti-codon) for a particular amino acid; and 'wobble' base-pairing, i.e. permitting non-standard base-pairing at the 3rd anti-codon position. Lineage: Eukaryota; Metazoa; Chordata; Mammalia; Artiodactyla; Bovidae. The record is from Rfam by way of RNAcentral.